CGUUCCGGCACCUUUUAAGGUAAAGGAGGAGGGCAUGUGCGUUUAACUCAUUAGCCAAUCAGACUCUGAAGCCGCUUCUCAAAGCCGCUUCCUGUCUCUCCACUUAUCUCUCCGUUUGGUGGUGGGCUGGUAAGUGUGCACUUAAUUUCGCUCCCUGUUUUGAAUUUCUCCUCCGUUUGAACCCUGUAUCCUGAUGGCAGGCCUUUAUUUCAAGUUGAAGAUGGAAUCCAUGGAGGAAGGCAGACGCCUGGGUGCCAGUCCAGAAGUGGCACUGUGAAAGCACCUGUCACAUCUGCUGUAGACGCCCUAGCAAUCCAGUGGGCUUGGAUUUGGACAUUCUCAGGAGGAACGGUUAAAGGCUGAUGGGACCAUAAAAGAUGAUAAUAUCUGGAAAGAUGAUGCUCAGAUACUUGGUAGAUCGUGUAAUUCAACUAAUUCCAAGAUAGAAGCUGGUUCAUUUGAUACCAGAGAAAUGAAGUUUCAGGAGAUCAAAACUGGAUCUCAGUCUCAUUUCUUUCCCAGGCUGGAAUUCUUGGGUGCUAUAAGUCCUGGAUAUACAACAGAUGUGAUGACAACAUUUUUCUUUUACGCAUGAAGAUAGAUGAUUCUUCAAAUUAAAGAUUGAAGCUGACUUUUCUCACCAGAAAUGGCUUAUAGAACCAACUUGGAAAAAUGUCAGAGGCAUCAAAG
RNAcentral lists this long non-coding RNA (690 nucleotides) under Ursus maritimus (polar bear). RNAcentral describes it as "lncRNA (ENSUMAG00000008108.1)". The record is from RNAcentral. Lineage: Eukaryota; Metazoa; Chordata; Mammalia; Carnivora; Ursidae.